This 464-nucleotide small RNA is filed under the name Malus domestica (apple). RNAcentral's name for it is "sRNA MD12G0126600". The record is from RNAcentral. Lineage: Eukaryota; Viridiplantae; Streptophyta; Magnoliopsida; Rosales; Rosaceae.
AAAUACCCCUUGUCUUUUUCAAUAUUUACACCAUUCUCUGCCGCUGCUCUCUUCCCGUAGACUUCAUCCUCAUCCUUCCUCCUCAUCCUCUCCCGUAGCUGUCGACUGCACCCAGCCAGCACGGAGCCACUACCGUCGCAUUGCAGAUUGACCCAGGUGGAGGUUCAAGUGAGGAAGUUGUAUUGUGUGAGUAAGGCUGCUGUUUUACCUAUUAACAUUGAGGAUGCUGCUCGGAGUGAUGUUGAAAUCGAAAAGGCUUUGCAGGCCGGAGAAACACUUGUUCGAGUUAAUCAGGAUACCCACUUGAAUAACCGAGUUCUUGAUUUGCGAACACCUGCGAAUCAGGGGAUAUUCCACAUUCAGAGUCAAGUUGGCAAUAUCCACUCGCCAAAGUUGAUUGCUGGUUCAAGUGAAGGUGGAGCUGCUGUUUUUAGACUCAACUACAAGGGUCAAGAUGCCUACCU